This 75-nucleotide transfer RNA is filed under the name Leptobrachella oshanensis (Oshan metacarpal-tubercled toad). Its description in RNAcentral is "tRNA-Leu". It matches the Rfam family "tRNA". Rfam says of the family: Transfer RNA (tRNA) molecules are approximately 80 nucleotides in length. Their secondary structure includes four short double-helical elements and three loops (D, anti-codon, and T loops). The record is from RNAcentral. Lineage: Eukaryota; Metazoa; Chordata; Amphibia; Anura; Megophryidae.
GUUAAUGUGGCAGAGUCAGGUAACUGCAAAAGCUCUAAGAUCUUUUUACCGAGGGUUCAACUCCUUCCGUUAACU